UGUAAAUUCCCAUCUUUAAAUUUGAGAUUAUUUUAACCAGUAUCUCUAGACAUGACGAGGACGAGGAAUAAUGCCGUUAUGGAACAGUUUUGUUAUAUCUUCAGGUUGUGGUCCUUCAGAGGCGCUAUAAUUACGACAGUGACAUUUCGUAUGUGUUCAGUUGUCCUUUUCCGAAGACCGCUAGAUGGCAGUAACGUGAUGUCUUUUGACUCGAGAUGUUUAUCGGCUGUUCUGUGCACAUGCUUCCCGUCAUGCAAUUAUAGGACCUGAAAUGCUGAGAGGACAUAGAGCUGUCUAAAUGUGCAUAACGCAAACCACAUCUUGGAUAACAUUUUACCCACAGGACCCAGAUGCAGCUGAAAUUAGUGAAGGAGCGGCGCGUGAUGACUGGAUGAACAUCGUCCUGCUCCUGAACACAACAACCCUUCAACAAUUACCAUGGUAACCACAGUUCCUCCCUAAAUACCACAGCACUGGUGCAGAGUUGAGGUUGUCUGUGAUAAUCUUAUCGUGCUAUGAUGGCGAGCGGAUGGGGACAAAAGCGGCAGAGGCACGUUGAAGGUCUGAUGGGUUGCUGAUUGCAAAGCUGUCCAGCGAAGAGACAGUUGCCAUGGAAAUGAUGAAUGACAUGUGUCCCACCUGAUAGGACGGGCACACCAGUAGAUUGAUGCAUAGGAACAUUUGUGUGUGAGAGAAGAUGAACAGCUUUAGGGAUUUUUGGUAGCAGUUUUCAUACCACACACACACACACAACGAACAAGUACAAGUACUUUAAUACCAAGG
Molecule: long non-coding RNA, 783 nt
Organism: Cyprinus carpio carpio
Lineage: Eukaryota; Metazoa; Chordata; Actinopteri; Cypriniformes; Cyprinidae
Source: Ensembl